Molecule: ribosomal RNA, 481 nt
Filed under: uncultured bacterium
Lineage: Bacteria
Description: partial 16S ribosomal RNA
Rfam family: Bacterial small subunit ribosomal RNA
Source: RNAcentral
GAUGAACGCUGGCGGCGUGCUUAACACAUGCAAGUCGAACGAAGCACUUUAUUUGAUUUCCUUCGGGACUGAUUAUUUUGUGACUGAGUGGCGGACGGGUGAGUAACGCGUGGGUAACCUGCCUUGUACAGGGAGAUAACAGUUGGAAACGGCUGCUAAUACCGCAUAAGCGCACGGCAUCGCAUGAUGCAGUGUGAAAAACUCCGGUGGUAUAAGAUGGACCCGCGUUGGAUUAGCUAGUUGGUGAGGUAACGGCCCACCAAGGCGACGAUCCAUAGCCGAGCUGAGAGGGUGACAGGCCACAUUGGGACUGAGACACGGCCCAAAAUCCUACGGGAGGGAGCAGUGGGGAAUAUUGCACAAGGGGCGAAAGCCUGAUGCAGCGACGCCGCGGGAGCGAAGAAGUAUUUCGGUAUGUAAAGCUCUAUCAGCAGGGAAGAUAAUGACGGUACCUGACUAAGAAGCACCGGCUAAAUACGUG